GAUGAACGCUGGCGGCGUGCCUAAUACAUGCAAGUCGAGCGAACAGACGAGGAGCUUGCUCCUCUGACGUUAGCGGCGGACGGGUGAGUAACACGUGGAUAACCUACCUAUAAGACUGGGAUAACUUCGGGAAACCGGAGCUAAUACCGGAUAAUAUAUAGAACCGCAUGGUUCAAUAGGGAAAGACGGUUUUGCUGUCACUUAUAGAUGGAUCCGCGCCGCAUUAGCUAGUUGGUAAGGUAACGGCUUACCAAGGCGACGAUGCGUAGCCGACCUGAGAGGGUGAUCGGCCACACUGGAACUGAGACACGGUCCAGACUCCUACGGGAGGCAGCAGUAGGGAAUCUUCCGCAAUGGGCGAAAGCCUGACGGAGCAACGCCGCGUGAGUGAUGAAGGUCUUCGGAUCGUAAAGCUCUGUUAUUAGGGAAGAACAACUGUGUAAGUAACUAUGAACGUCUUGACGGUACCUAAUCAGAAAGCCACGGCUAACUACGUG
This 497-nucleotide ribosomal RNA is filed under the name uncultured bacterium. RNAcentral describes it as "partial 16S ribosomal RNA". It matches the Rfam family "Bacterial small subunit ribosomal RNA", at positions 28 to 507 of the family's 1533-position model. The record is from RNAcentral.